RNAcentral lists this ribosomal RNA (765 nucleotides) under uncultured Treponema sp. Its description in RNAcentral is "bacterial SSU rRNA". It matches the Rfam family "Bacterial small subunit ribosomal RNA", at positions 28 to 776 of the family's 1533-position model. The record is from RNAcentral. Lineage: Bacteria; Pseudomonadati; Spirochaetota; Spirochaetia; Treponematales; Treponemataceae.
AACGAACGCUGGCGGCGCGUCUUAAGCAUGCAAGUCGAACGGCAAGAGAGAAGCUUGCUUCUCUCCUAGAGUGGCGGACUGGUGAGGAACACGUGGGUAAUCUACCCUUAAGAUGGGGAUAGCUGCUAGAAAUAGCAGGUAAUACCGAAUACACUCAGUAUUUCAUAAGAAGUAUUGAGGAAAGGAAGCUACGGCUUCGCUUGAGGAUGAGCUUGCGUCCCAUUAGCUAGUUGGUGAGGUAACGGCCCACCAAGGCGACGAUGGGUAUCCGGCCUGAGAGGGUGAUCGGACACAUUGGGACUGAGAUACGGCCCAAACUCCUACGGGAGGCAGCAGCUAAGAAUAUUCCGCAAUGGACGAAAGUCUGACGGAGCGACGCCGCGUGGAUGAAGAAGGCUGAAAAGUUGUAAAAUCCUUUUGUUGAUGAAGAAUAAGGGGAAGAGGGAAUGCUUCUCUGAUGACGGUAAUCAGCGAAUAAGCCCCGGCUAAUUACGUGCCAGCAGCCGCGGUAACACGUAAGGGGCGAGCGUUGUUCGGAAUUAUUGGGCGUAAAGGGCGUGUAGGCGGUUAUGUAAGCCUGAUGUGAAAUCCUGGGGCUUAACCCUAGAAUAGCAUUGGGUACUGUGUAACUUGAAUUACGGAAGGGAAACUGGAAUUCCAAGUGUAGGGGUGGAAUCUGUAGAUAUUUGGAAGAACACCGGUGGCGAAGGCGGGUUUCUGGCCGAUAAUUGACGCUGAGAUGCGAAAGUGUGGGGAUCGAACAGG